CUCACUCAGUGUGCAGCCUAGCUUGUUCAU
This 30-nucleotide non-coding RNA is filed under the name Homo sapiens (human). Lineage: Eukaryota; Metazoa; Chordata; Mammalia; Primates; Hominidae. The record is from RNAcentral.